RNAcentral lists this ribosomal RNA (207 nucleotides) under uncultured bacterium. Its description in RNAcentral is "partial 16S ribosomal RNA". It matches the Rfam family "Bacterial small subunit ribosomal RNA", at positions 568 to 774 of the family's 1533-position model. The record is from RNAcentral.
CGCGUAGGCGGCUCGGUAAGUCUGGAGUGAAAGUCCUGCUUUUAAGGUGGGAAUUGCUUUGGAUACUGUCGGGCUUGAGUGCAGGAGAGGUUAGUGGAAUUCCCAGUGUAGCGGUGAAAUGCGUAGAUAUCAGGAGGAAUACCGGAGGCGAAGGCGGCCUGCUGGACAAAUACUGACGCUGAGGCGCGAAAGCGUGGGGAGCAAACA